UUUCCGUAGGUGGACCUGCGGAAGGAUCAUUAUUGAAUGAAACACUUCUGGCUUUAUGCUGUUGUGCUAGCCCUUUGGGCAAUGUGCACACGGCUCUGGUCACUUGUUUCUUCUGUUCCACCUGUGCACUGCCUGUAGACACGCUGUGUCUAUGAUAUUUGUUAACACACAACAAUGUUAGUUGGCAUGUUAUAUAUAAUAAUAAAAUAUACAACUUUCAACAACGGAUCUCUUGGCUCUC
RNAcentral lists this unclassified non-coding RNA (241 nucleotides) under plant metagenome. RNAcentral's name for it is "partial contains small subunit ribosomal RNA, internal transcribed spacer 1, and 5.8S ribosomal RNA". The record is from RNAcentral.